GAUGAACGCUGGCGGCGUGCCUAAUACAUGCAAGCCGAGCGAACGGACGAGAAGCUUGCUUCUCUGAUGUUAGCGGCGGACGGGUGAGUAACACGUGGAUAACCUACCUAUAAGACUGGGAUAACUUCGGGAAACCGGAGCUAAUACCGGAUAAUAUUUUGAACCGCAUGGUUCAAAAGUGAAAGACGGUCUUGCUGUCACUUAUAGAUGGAUCCGCGCUGCAUUAGCUAGUUGGUAAGGUAACGGCUUACCAAGGCAACGAUGCAUAGCCGACCUGAGAGGGUGAUCGGCCACGCUGGAACUGAGACACGGUCCAGACUCCUACGGGAGGCAGCAGUAGGGAAUCUUCCGCAAUGGGCGAAAGCCUGACGGAGCAACGCCGCGUGAGUGAUGAAGGUCUUCGGAUCGUAAAACUCUGUUAUUAGGGAAGAACAUAUGUGUAAGUAACUGUGCACACCUUGACGGUACCUAAUCAGAAAGCCACGGCUAACUACGUG
RNAcentral lists this ribosomal RNA (497 nucleotides) under uncultured bacterium. RNAcentral's name for it is "partial 16S ribosomal RNA". It matches the Rfam family "Bacterial small subunit ribosomal RNA", at positions 28 to 507 of the family's 1533-position model. The record is from RNAcentral.